UAAGACUUUAAGUUAAAAAAAACUGUGUACCUUCAAAGUAUAAAAUAUUUAAAUAUAAGUC
Molecule: transfer RNA, 61 nt
Filed under: Argas persicus
Lineage: Eukaryota; Metazoa; Arthropoda; Arachnida; Ixodida; Argasidae
Description: tRNA-Trp
Source: RNAcentral